GAUGACGUAAUUUAUGGACAGACCCAAAGGGAUUAUACUUGGUCAAGCAGAUCUUGUCAGUAGAAAAAGGCGGCAAAUUUGAAAAAUGUAGGCGCGAAGGGAUAUCGUCCCAUAGAAAAUUUCGCGCCUUUUUUACUGACAAGAUUUGCUUUACCAGCUAUAAAUAGAAGAUGAGCUUGCACGUAAUUUUUUUUUAGAGAUUGGUUUUUAAUAUUUUUUUAAGCGCUGGUGGCCUAGCGGUAAGAGCGUGCGACUUUCAAUACAGAGGUCGCGGGUUCAAGCCCCGGCUCGUACCAAUGAGUUUUUCGGAACUUAUGUACGAAAUAUCAUUUGACAAUUUACCAGUUGCUUUUCGGUGAAGGAAAACAUCGUGAGGAAACCGGACUAAUCCGAAUAAGACCUAGUUUCCCCUCUGGGUUGAAAGGUCAGAUGGCAGUCGCGUUCAUAAAAACUAGUACCUACGCCAAUUCUUGGGAUAAGUUGACAACGGACCCUAUGCUCCCAUGAGCCGUGGCAAAAUGACGGGAUAACGCCCGGAAGAAGAAGGAUUCUUGAAAUUUUAGGAGUUUAAUAAGACGCGCAAAAGUUUGUAACGUUAGUAUGGUUCCUGAUAAAUACUUUGUCAAUGGAAAAUCUUAUCACACAGUGUGUAUAUAUACACUCUAGUACAUAGUGCUGGGUCAGUUCUAGAUUAUUAGAGCUAUAAAGUAACGAUAACAAAGCUCGCCGCUAUUAAGACUUGGUCAGUGCUUGCCGCUAUAAUAAAUAACUACUUAUUAAUAAUUAUUUUACUGUGAUUUUAUAAUUGACUUUUUAUUCUGCUAGAUUUCGGGUUAAGCAAUUUUUGUUACUUACCAUCUACGAUGUCCUGUUAAAAAUAAUAUAUAAUUUUAAUAAGCAA
Cydia splendana is the source of this 901-nucleotide long non-coding RNA. RefSeq lists it as uncharacterized. The transcript has 2 exons. Lineage: Eukaryota; Metazoa; Arthropoda; Insecta; Lepidoptera; Tortricidae. The record is from RefSeq and is a predicted model, not a curated record.